UUUAUAUCCUGUGAACUACAAGAUACCAGCAUGGAAUUGGAAAACACAAGAUAGAUUUCACUAAUCCCUGUAUGAGUUAUCAAGGGUGUGUUGACGAGAUUGGAUUUGACAGAGGUUGUACUGCUAUACUGCUUGACCUGACCUACAGGAGUGGGAAGAGUAAUGAGACUUUCAUAAUACAGCAAGUGAAGAUGAGUGCAAAACUGAACUGACAAGCUUUAAGGUGGUAAUGUUUUUGUGUGCACUGGUGACAGCUGGUUGGAAGAUUUGUGCUGAAAAGAAACUGUUCUCCAGCUAGAAUGUAUUUGAUGAAAGAGAAGGAAAAAAAU
Molecule: long non-coding RNA, 329 nt
Organism: Falco peregrinus (peregrine falcon)
Lineage: Eukaryota; Metazoa; Chordata; Aves; Falconiformes; Falconidae
Exons: 3
Source: RefSeq, a predicted model, not a curated record